UGAAAAUGCCCUUUUAACCACUUUUGGUACUAAGGAGCUGGUAUCAAGCACACUACACAGUAGCUCAUAACACCUUGCACAGCCACACCCCCACGGGAAACAGCAGUAACAAAAAUUAAGCAAUAAACGAAAGUUCGACUAAGUUAUGCUAAUUAGGGCUGGUCAACUUCGUGCCAGCCACCGCGGUCAUACGAACAGCCCAAAUUAAUAGAACCCGGCGUAAAGAGUGGUUAUGACGUUUAUACACUAAAGUUAAACUUAACCUCAGCUGUAGAAAGCUAAAGGCCUAAAAUUAAAUACUCUACGAAAGUGACUUUAACAAAUCAGAAUCCACGAUAGCUAAGACACAAACUGGGAUUAGAUACCCCACUAUGCCUAGCCUUAAACCUAGUUAAUUAGUAACAAAAUUACUCGCCAGAGAACUACGAGCAAAAGCUUAAAACUCAAAGGACUUGGCGGUGCUUUAUAUCCACCUAGAGGAGCCUGUUGUUUAAUCGAUAAACCCCGCUAAACCCUACCAUCAUUUGCUAAUCCAGUCUAUAUACCGCCAUCUUCAGCAAACCCUUAAAAGGAAUCAAAGUAAGCUUAAUUAUACUUAAUAAAAACGUUAGGUCAAGGUGUAAUUUAAAUGAUGGAAACUAAUGGGCUACAUUCUCUUAAAAAGAGUA
RNAcentral lists this ribosomal RNA (668 nucleotides) under Rhynchocyon chrysopygus mandelai. Its description in RNAcentral is "partial 12S ribosomal RNA". It matches the Rfam family "Bacterial small subunit ribosomal RNA", at positions 107 to 1248 of the family's 1533-position model. The record is from RNAcentral. Lineage: Eukaryota; Metazoa; Chordata; Mammalia; Macroscelidea; Macroscelididae.